CGGAAAAUCAGCGAGAAUCUCUGAACGGGCUGAGCACAGAUGUGAAUUCGUCGAUGCCUCAUUGGACUCCAACGUUACGUCGCCGCCAUUUUGAAUGUGGCAGUAGAGCGAUGGGAGCUCCAUACUUCAUGUUCUUGUUGUUUCAAUCGCUUUCCAGUAAAAACUGGAUAAACUUGACCCAUUAGCAUUUCAUUUCACAGCCACCAGGACGUCACUGGACUGCUCCCAGUUUGACCAGCAGACUGAACCCGGUGUUGGCAGUACAGAUAAAUCUGUAUUUAAUGUACAACUUUUCUCUUUUACUUUUUGUGUGUUUUUAUGUUCAUGAAUACACUCCAGUGUGUGUCUUCAUUAAUGUCGAUAUAAAAAGGAUUGAUGAGAAUCAGUUGUACCAAAUAUAACACUGUGCUCUUUAAACAAUUAAUCACAUCAAAAAGUUAGAAAUAUUGUCUUUAGUGCUUUUCUUUAAUUCCCAAAUAUAUUAGGGUGUGACAGAAUGUGUUAAUGACGAGCAUUAACUUAAAAUACUUUGUACAACCAUGCUUUAUAAAGUUAAGUCCAUUUACACUGAACAAAAAUAUAAAGCCCCGUGUCAAAUAUAAGAGUUUUAUGAACAUGUGGGUUACGCAAUAUAUAGAGAAACUCAAAAUACACUUUCAGUAAUUACUGAUCUUCAUAUCAGCAUCGAUGACAUCGUGGUUCGGCCGUUUGUAGCGGAUCGACAGUCCUGAUCAGGGUCAGGCUGAGGAAUCCGAUUCUGACCCAGUUGGCUUCCCGUAGGCGGUUACAGACAGUCUGAGGUUUGAUGCGUCUGUUGUUCAGACCAAUAGUCUCAUCAGCUGAGUGUCGCUGGUCUGAGCCGAUCCUCAGACGGACGAGCCGACGUGGCCGUCUGGUGCUGAGCGGUCAGACGAGGAUGAGGAGGAUCUGCAGUCUGUUGGAAACCAACUCUUAAAGGGCCAACGGUCCGAUAACGGACCAUUAUCGGACCGUCGGUACGGCGUCCUGCAUCCAACAUGCCAACGGCUCCCACAUAACAUCUGAGGCUUUAUGACUUCUGACAUAAUGUGACAUUUUGGGGCCUUUUAUUGUCCAGGCCAAGGAUUGUCCAGCUGUUGCUCAUUUUGUCUGACCACCCAGUGGACAUGUCCCACAAUGCACCGAGUAAAACAACAACUCACUGAGUAACGCUCACUGACAGGAAGUUGGAUUAAAUAUUAUACACAGUUCAAGAGAAAUAUUACUUUGGUACAAUAAAAUGUCAGCAAUGCUCAUUUACAGUUAACUCCACAUGGCAACAACAUCUGACAUGAGGCCUUUAGAUUUUUGUUCGGUACAAUUAUAUUAGCUUAAUGGCACAUACUGUGGAUCAUAUUCAAUAUGGUGGACGCUGUGACAUAUAGCAGCAAUGAGCGGACUGGCUCAUUCAUGUCUAUGGGGCUGAGAACCAGGCUGCAGGAUUCUCCCAUUUCUCCCACAGCUCCCAGUCCAGUCCUAAAUCAGAGAUUGACCUGCUGAUAGUGACUGAGAGGAAACAGACCCCAUUGCUAGGCAGUAGACCCCGUUACUAGGCUGACACAGUGAUUGGUUGCAAGGCGGAACCAAACUGUCCCAGCAAUCAGCUGAUCAUUGAAUCUGGAUUCAGAAAGUGAGUCUUGAUGAUGAAACUAAAA
Xiphophorus couchianus (Monterrey platyfish) is the source of this 1673-nucleotide long non-coding RNA. RefSeq lists it as uncharacterized. The transcript has 2 exons. NCBI's taxonomy places the organism in Eukaryota, Metazoa, Chordata, Actinopteri, Cyprinodontiformes, Poeciliidae. The record is from RefSeq and is a predicted model, not a curated record.